Molecule: long non-coding RNA, 775 nt
Organism: Empidonax traillii (willow flycatcher)
Lineage: Eukaryota; Metazoa; Chordata; Aves; Passeriformes; Tyrannidae
Exons: 3
Source: RefSeq, a predicted model, not a curated record
CUGCAUAGACUGAGGAAGCAAAUUACUAUUUCUUGAGGGAAGGGAAACGAUUUUUUUUUUUUAAUCGAACACCUACGAGUAUGCAGAGAUCUUUAACUCCAGAAGAGGCUGACAAAAUUCUAGCUUUAUCUCAGGGCUGAGAAGAAAUCGUAAAGGUAUGCUUGGUGCGAGGGUCCUUUCUGCCCGAAGAAAUCUUAGCGCUGAAGUGAACUAACUGUAGGCGUCAAGUCCCAAUGCCAUUGUUUCCCAUCUGCAGCGGAGCCUCCUUUGAUUCCUCAGAUAAACACGGCAGCUGAGGGGGGAAGCUUGACAAGUUCUUCAAGCACCACUGGUUCAGAGAGCUCUGCAGCGGCAGGAAAGCCUGGGGAAAGGCGAUCCUGAACUUCCCGUUCAGGAGAGGUCGCCAGCGCCCGCGGAUUCCUUCCCCGCGCCCGAGUAUGCUCCGCGCCUCUGUGGUGCGUGUCUAAUGAAGCAGAGUUUGCAGAUGUCUCUUGCUUGAAAACCGAUGGGAUCCUUCCUGUUGCAGCCAGGGGUCAGAGCUAGAGGAAUGGGAGCUCUGCUAAUUCGGUUGUAUCGGGACGGAGGGCAAGGAGUAUUUUUAUUCAGACACGAUGGCUCCAGCAGUGCUUCGUUCCUGGGAAUUGCAGUUUCAUAUAGCAAUUUUAUGUGAACGUCUGUUUCUGCCUUGCUUGGGGUCUUUUGCCUCCGAAGGUGUAAGUCACCAAAAUCUUAAGGCAUUUGCAACACAAAUUGUACGAAGCCCACUUGCCUUUGC